This 20-nucleotide unclassified non-coding RNA is filed under the name Mus musculus (house mouse). Its description in RNAcentral is "oocyte_clustered_small_RNA6771". The record is from RNAcentral. Lineage: Eukaryota; Metazoa; Chordata; Mammalia; Rodentia; Muridae.
UCAUACAAGGUCCCACUGAG